This 497-nucleotide ribosomal RNA is filed under the name uncultured bacterium. Its description in RNAcentral is "partial 16S ribosomal RNA". It matches the Rfam family "Bacterial small subunit ribosomal RNA", at positions 28 to 507 of the family's 1533-position model. The record is from RNAcentral.
GAUGAACGCUGGCGGCGUGCCUAAUACAUGCAAGUCGAGCGGACAGAUGAGGAGCUUGCUCCUCUGACGUUAGCGGCGGACGGGUGAGUAACACGUGGAUAAACUACCUAUAAGACUGGGAAAAAUUCGGGAAACCGGAGCUAAUACCGGAUAAUAUAUUGAACCGCAUGGUUCAAUAGUGAAAGACGGGUUUUCUGUCACUUAUAGAUGGAUCCGCGCCGCAUUAGCUAGUUGGUAAGGUAACGGCUUACCAAGGCAACGAUGCGUAGCCGACCUGAGAGGGUGAUCGGCCACACUGGAACUGAGACACGGUCCAGACUCCUACGGGAGGCAGCAGUAGGGAAUCUUCCGCAAUGGGCGAAAGCCUGACGGAGCAACGCCGCGUGAGUGAUGAAGGUCUUCGGAUCGUAAAACUCUGUUAUUAGGGAAGAACAAAUGUGUAAGUAACUAUGCACGUCUUGACGGUACCUAAUCAGAAAGCCACGGCUAACUACGUG